This 209-nucleotide unclassified non-coding RNA is filed under the name Hevea brasiliensis (rubber tree). The record is from RNAcentral. Lineage: Eukaryota; Viridiplantae; Streptophyta; Magnoliopsida; Malpighiales; Euphorbiaceae.
GCGGUUUUCUGCAGAGCCAAUGAGGGAUGAAGAGUAUAACCCCUCAUACUAUGAUCAGUUUUUGGAAGAUGGUGGUGGUGAUUUGAACUAUUCCAGAUAUCCCGUAAGAUGCAGUCAUGGAAAAGGCUGGCCGCAACAACGUAAAAGCUCAAGAAUACCUUUUUCUGCAGAGGUUUCACAUUACAGGCACCCAGCUGAUUGCCUGUGUU